RNAcentral lists this ribosomal RNA (471 nucleotides) under uncultured bacterium. Its description in RNAcentral is "partial 16S ribosomal RNA". It matches the Rfam family "Bacterial small subunit ribosomal RNA", at positions 28 to 506 of the family's 1533-position model. The record is from RNAcentral.
GACGAACGCUGGCGGCGUGCUUAACACAUGCAAGUCGAACGCUGAAGCUUGGUGCUUGCACUGGGUGGAUGAGUGGCGAACGGGUGAGUAAUACGUGAGUAACCUGCCCUUGACUCUGGGAUAAGCCUGGGAAACUGGGUCUAAUACUGGAUACGACAUGCCACUGCAUGGUGGUGUGUGGAAAGGGUUUUACUGGUUUUGGAUGGGCUCACGGCCUAUCAGCUUGUUGGUGGGGUAAUGGCCUACCAAGGCGACGACGGGUAGCCGGCCUGAGAGGGUGACCGGCCACACUGGGACUGAGACACGGCCCAGACUCCUACGGGAGGCAGCAGUGGGGAAUAUGGCACAAUGGGCGGAAGCCGGAUGCAGCGACGCCGCGUGAGGGAGGACGGCCUUCGGGUGGUAAACCUCUUUCAGCACGGAAGAAGCGAGAGGGACGGUACGGGCAGAAGAAGCGCCGGAUAAAUACGU